This 78-nucleotide transfer RNA is filed under the name Candidatus Bathyarchaeota archaeon. RNAcentral describes it as "tRNA-Lys". It matches the Rfam family "tRNA". Rfam says of the family: Transfer RNA (tRNA) molecules are approximately 80 nucleotides in length. Their secondary structure includes four short double-helical elements and three loops (D, anti-codon, and T loops). The record is from RNAcentral. Lineage: Archaea; Thermoproteati; Candidatus Bathyarchaeota.
GAGCUCGUAGCCUAGCCAGGCGAGGCGCGGGGCUUUUAACCCCGUCCAACACGGGUUCAAAUCCCGUCGAGCUCUCCA